RNAcentral lists this long non-coding RNA (7099 nucleotides) under Sorghum bicolor (sorghum). Its description in RNAcentral is "long non-coding RNA (SBIC_LNC009612)". Lineage: Eukaryota; Viridiplantae; Streptophyta; Magnoliopsida; Poales; Poaceae. The record is from RNAcentral.
GUGGAGGGCAGCCAGAUUUGAUGGAGGCUAGCCCGAUCAGGUGAAGGAAAGCGCCGACGUCGCCGAUGGGCAGGUACAGUCUCCUCAUCUCUCUCUAUCUUCCUCUCUUUAUCUCCCUCACUCACUCUUCCCUCUCCCCUUUUGCAGAUCUAGUGCUGGCUGGAGCCGCACAGACGAUAGCGGCGAUAGGUGGAACCCUAGGAACCGGCACGAGCGAGGACGACUGAGGUGGCAAGAAAGAGGACGGUGGCACAUGAGCGACCUUCACGAUGUCGACGGUAGCCGUCACAGACCAUGGAAAGGAUGACUUAGAUGAUGGAGGCUCCAGAAACUGAAGCUAGCUAGCUCCAGGACCUAGAUUUUUUUAUUUUUUUGUUAACCGUGGCGGGCCUAGUCUUGUGACCGCCUCCAUUAAAGACCUAUUAAUAGAGGCGGUUGCCUUAUAGCGCCAGCCUCUAUUAAUGUUUUAAUAGAGGGGGGCAGGGGCAACCGCCUCCAUUAAGUCAUAAUUAACCGUGACCUAUCGUUGGAGACGAUUGCCCCAGCCCGCCUCCAUUAACGAAAAACAACCGCCUCCAAUAAAAAAAAUCUCUAGUAGUGGUGUAUACUUCUGUUGGAUAUAUUUGAUCUAGUGUGCUAAUAAUAUAUUUGUUAGUGACUUCUAUGUAUACCUAUUACAAGUUAUUUUGCAUGUUAUAUGUAUCAAAAGUUCCAAACAAUAGUUCAUAGGCACAUGUCAUUUUCAUUUAUCUAGCAGUUUAAGAAUUAAAUACAAAACCCUAUCACUUUCAUUCUAAUUCAUUUUCAUUAUUUGCAAAGGUGUAAUUCUCUUAAGGGACAACAACAUGUGUAUUAGGUGCUCAAUUAGAUCUAACAAAAUCUCGAUGCUGUUUUUGGGUGUGACAUGUGGUUGCAGGGACAAGAUGGUUCAAGCUUUGUCAGUUUCCCCGAGUAAAUAUUUAUGUCAUUCUAAAAAUGGCGAGUUAGUUUACAUCAAAGGUUUUAGAACACGUAUGAUGAUAUGCGGCAUUGGAGAGCAAUAAGUGCACCUUAUUGUUGCCCAAACAUAGUUCAUCUACUUGCAUGAAUGUUGUUCUCACAUGUACAAUAAUAUAAUUGCACAUUAAGUGGCCAAAGAUCAAUUUAGGUGUUGGUCUUUGUGUGUGCAUAAUUCCGAUAAUUCUAUCUACAUGAACAAUUGUCAUACAAAGUCAGGUUAAUUUAUCUAAUGACAAUGAAUUUAAAUUUUUUUUAUAUUUCCAUGAUAGAAAUAGUGUUUUUAAACUGUUAUAUAUAAUUCAAAGUGAACAUUACAACUAAGAUUACCAUCAAUCCCACUAUGCAUAGUCGCAUGGCUGGUCCCACCUAACACAACACACAAUUUUGGAUAUUAUACCAACAUGAUGAUGUUUGUGUGUGUGGUAAUGCUCAAUUAAUCAAGCAUCACACUAUAAGGACGAUUUAUAUCUUCUUACUCUCAAUCUUAGGGCAAAAUAAUUAUCGGGCACAUUUGGAGACUAGUAACACAUUAGAAUCUAGAAAUAUAUAAUUUAUUAUUUCUGAGAAGCCUCAGACAUCAGCCUAAAAACUUCAUUAUUGAAUUACAACUAGUAAGCAAUCUAAAAGAGGGCACCACCAAUGAAGGGUUGUUGGCAGGACGUUGCUGGGUUCGCCAGAGCAAGCUGGAUGAAUGGCAACAACUGUUGUUGUUGAAAGAGGGUGGCGGCAUUAGCCACACCCUGCGGGUAGAACGGCAGCAGCUGUUGUUGUGGCCAGAAGGUGGCAGGACUCACAGCACCUAGCUGGCUGAAUUGUAGUAGUAGUUGUAGCUGCAAAUAGGCAGCAGGGUUCACUGCAGCUAGUUGGUUGAAUGGGAGCAACUGUUGUAGUUGUAAGAGGGUGGCGGCGUUAGCCACACCCUGCGGGUAGAACGGCAGCAGCUGUUGUUGUGGCCAGAAGGCGGCAGGGCUCGCAGCAGCUAGCUGGCUGAAUUGUUGUAGUUGUUGCAGCUGCAAAUAGGCAGCGGGGUUCACUGCAGCCAGUUGGCUGAAUGGAAUAAACUGCUGUUGCUGGGAGUACGCAGCAAGGUUUGCCAACGUUACUUGGUUGAUCGAAGGUAGCACCAGUUGCUGCAGUUGUUGUGCCCUGAUGCUUUGUGCCAACAAAUUCACCAAGGACAACUGCUGCAAUAGGGCCGAUGGUUGUUGGAUGAACAAGGGUGAUGACUGUAAGAUGCUUGCUGCGAUUGCCUGUUGGAGCCCAUAGGGUUGUAGCAUUGGGUUUGCGCACACUGGUGGGAGGUAUGCGGGAUGAGGGGCAGCUAUAGAAAUUUGUGAGCAGUGCGGUUGCGGGAUAUAGGUCGCGGUAGCAGCACUUGCAAAAAGAGCAAGGAGCAUAAUGAGGGAAAAUAUCUUGGCCGCCAUUGUUGCUAUGUUGCUAGUGUAUUCCACUUUCUAUGUUGCUAGUUGGUCUCAAUAAUAUGGGUGAUGGAUUACCUACUGAUCUGGGGGGUAUUUAUACUCAUGUUAAGCCUUGUGGUUGUGCAAGAUUUAUUUUGGCUUUUACCAAAAAACAUAAUAGUAAGAUAAGCUAGAGAUGACGUGGUAUCUAGUUGGUUUUGACAUUUAGUUGCCACUUUGUUGGGUUAUACUUUAUACAUCUGCAAUACAAUCUCCACAAAAUACACUAAAUAAGUGGUUUUGUCCUCUUGGUAUUUUCCAAAUACUUGGGUGACAAUGGCUCGAUCCAUUCACCUUUACACAUGUGUAGCCUUAGCCACAUAUGUGCGGCUUGGUUAGGCUAUUUUGCACCAGAAAAAAAAUUCAUGGUGGUAUUCACCAAUGUUAAUUUGCAUUUGGUUAUUUUGUGCUAUAAUCGGUUCAAGGAGUCACUCGUUCCAUGUCGUACAAUGCGGUUACCACCCAUAACCUACCACAAAUGGAUCAUGUCAACGGCAGUGUUACCUCACAAGAACCAAACAAUCAAAGUAUUUGGGGAACAACAAUAUUCAUUUCCAUUUCACUUUUAUUGACACUCCACUAACCAAACAACACCAUAAUAUCUAUUCCACUUGAUUAUAGUCAAUACCUAAAGAUUGACAAAUACCUAAGUCAUUUUCAACUAACACUAUUACAGAAAGAUCAGCACAACCAGUUUGGAAACCUGCAUCGCCGCCACUUCCAGCACUCGGCAGUGAAUUAUCGACAGUGAUGGCCAUGGUAAUCAUGUCCAGUUAGUAAUUAGUGGUGGUUAUAUGCUAUCACCACCAUUUUGGAGUUCAAUCUAGCUGCGAUAACAUCAAUAUCAUCGCUGAGUUUAUUUUUUGUUCAGGCGUUGAAGAUCCUACAAAUGUUGUCGGGUUUAUAACAAAAUCCAACAAUGAUGGUCAUUUGGUCACCAUCGGUCAGUUGUACACACCGGCAAUGUUGAGAGUUCCUACACCACUGAUCAGUGCUGCAGUCUAUAUAUGACAAGCGUUGAUCACCACAGGUCAGUGGUCACUGUCGGCAGUGAUGAUCAAUUGAUCGACAUCUGUUCAAUUCAUACCCGAUGAUGAUCACUACUACAUCACCAAUGGUAGCUUGAGCUGGUGUCGAUGGCCUUCAUUGAUGGAAUGAUAUUGCAUCUGUGUUUUCACAUUUAUGAAAAAUUCUACUUAAUUAACUCCCUCAACUAUUGUGUGUUAUAUAUCGUGCAGUGUUUGAAGCAACCUUGAUAGGGAGUGCUAUAUGUCUAUUUAUGUUUUAACUUUGUAUGAAUUUUAAGACCCCUAAUUUAUGUUAGGAUAACCAUGUCAUAUAUAAUAUAUAAGUUAACAUUGGUUAUAAUAUGAUAGUGUACAAUAUAAUUAAACUUGUGUCAAAUUAAAUUUGAAAAUACAACAUUGAUAGACUUUUUUCUUCCACUGCAAAGCAAAGGAAUACUUAGAUGUAAAUAUAUCGUAACUAUAAAAAAUGUAUUGUCAGUUAUGAGAUUUGCAUCAAGUAUAGAGGGUCUUGAGUAAUGCUAAUACUAAUAUUAGUAUUAGUUAUAGAUAUAGACAAAUUAAUAAUAAUUAAUUAUAUUAAUUAUUACAUACAGGUUAGAUCCAAAUUUUAUCCUGUUGACGCCAUUUUUGGUAACGAGUCAAGGUAAUCAAAAUGGACCUAUUGGCAGUAAAGAGAUUAUUGCAUUAUGCCGAUAGGAGAGGUGCCGAUGAAGAUCGGCUGAUAGAGAUUGUUGCCGAUGGAAGGUCAUGAUCGGUGGAAAGGUUGUCUUUUAAAUUGAAUUAAAGAGUGUUGAUCAGAGAUGGUGUUUGCCAAUGUCGAUUCAGGGGUCAUUGCCGAUGAAGCCUGUAAUGAUUCAUUGCCGAUGUCGAUGAAGGAGGACAUGAAGACUGCUGCUGAUGAAGCUUGAAAUAACAGGGAACAUGCCGAUGGAGCAGGAGCCGAUGGAGAUUUCAUCGUGAUUGAGGCGGACACGAGAGUAGAUAGAUGUUAUUUUCUAUUUUUUAUAUUUGUUAGGGUAUACCUUACGUAAGAAUCCUGUUUUAUCUUAAAGUCGGAUCCUAGUCGUGUUUGGUUGUAUCUCUUUAGGACAGGGUAUAAAUAUAGACCAGAGGGCAAUGUAAUGAGACAAUCAAUCAAUAUCAAAUCCAAGUUUACUCCUACUUUUGCAUGUACUUACUUUUCGACGACUUCGUCAAUUCACAUAUUUUCUUUUUACGAGUUCUCUUGGUUCGGCGAGUUGCAUUGUUCUAGCGCAAAUCUCGACGAUCCUCGAGUUCCGUGUGAGUACCUCUUGACCGUGACUUUCGGGCGCAUCACUGUUGUCGGGACCAAAGUACUUGAGUUAGACCAAAGUACUUGAGUUAUCAUCCUUAUCGAUUAACAGGUCAAAUCGACUGACACGUCUAGGAUAUCGGAUUGGGUUUUGUGUUUGCAGAUUCACUUUUGCAUCAACAGAUCCCAUUUUCUUCCACAUGUUUUGCAAUCCAUCUUCGGUCUUUUUUCGAUCAUACUUUGGUUGUCAGCAGGACGUGAGUUCGAGUCAUACACGGGAUAAUUAAACCAAUUAUAACUCUAAUCUCUAGUAUAGUUAAACCAACUAGGACUAGUAUAUUCUGAAAAGUGGAAGGACACACAAUAGGAAGAGAAUGUGACAGACGACCAAAAUUUUGUAGAAAACUUUUUCACUCCUUAUAUUAGAUCUCUGUUCCAAACGCUAUGCUAUAAGGUUGGCUCGGGAAUGUAAUCUCCUAGUCUUGUAGGUAGAUUUGUGGCAUGGUGGACACUGCCCCAUAGAGCCCCCACGGCCCACAGAACACAGACACCAGCUUGCCGCAUUCUAUUAAGAUUCCUUGACGCUCGGGAGUAGACAUAGUACAUGAUUAGACCUUAAUAUUCUCACCAAUGUUAAUUUCUGUUUGCUUAAUUUGUGCUAUAGUCAGUUGAAGGAGUCACUCGUUCCUGUGCCAUUCGUUCCUAUGCCAUACAAUGCGAUUACCACCUGCAACCUACCACAAAUGGAUCAUGUCGACGGUAAUGUUAACUCACAAGAACAAAACAAUCAAAGUAUUUCUAAAAAUGGUGAGUUAUUUUACAUCAAAGGUCUGCACUGGAGAGCAAUAAGUGCACCUUAUUGUUGGAAAAAAAGUUCCAUCUACUUGCAUGAAUGCUGUUCUCACAUGUACUAUAAUAGAAUUACAUAUUAGUGGCCAAUGAUCAAUUUAGGCAUUGGUCUUUGUAUGUGCACAAUUCCCAUAAUUCUAUCUACAUGAGCAGUUGUCAUACAAAUUAAGUCAGGUUAAUUUUUCUAAUGCUGAUGAAUUUAAAGUUUUUUAUAUUUCCAUGAUAGAAAUAGUGUUUUUGAUACUUUUUUCUAUAAUUCAAAGCCAAUAUUACAAUUAAGAUUACCAUCAAUCCCACUAUGCACAUUCGGAAUGGCUAGUCCCACAUAACACAGUAUGCAUUUUUGCAAGAUUAUACCAACAUGAUGAUGUUUAUGUGUGGUAAUGCUCAAUUAAUCAAGCAUCACACUAUAAGGUUGAUUUAUAUCUCCUUACUCUCAAUCUUAGUGCAAAAUAAUUAUCGAACACACCAGGAGACAAGUAAGACAUUAGAAUACGGAAGCAUAAUUUAUUAUUUCUGAGAAGCCUCAGACAUGAUAGCCUAAAAACUUCAUUAUUGAACUACAACUAGUAAGAAAUCUAAAAGAGGGCACCACCAAUGAAGGGCUGUUGGCAGGACGUUGCUGGGUUCGCCAGAGCAAGCUGGAUGAAUGGCAGCAACUGUUGUUGCUGAAAGAGGGUGGCGGCAUUAGCCACACCCUGCGGGUAGAAUCGCAGUAGCUGUUGUUGUGGCCAGAAGGUGGCAGGACUCACAGCACCUAGCCGGCUGAAUUGUAGUAGUUGUUGCAGCUGCAAAUAAGCAGCAGGGUUCACUGCAGCCAGUUGGUUGAAUGAGAGCAACUGUUGUAGUUGUAAGAGGGUGGCGGCGUUAGCCACACCCUGCGGGUAGAACGGCAACAGCUGUUGUUGUGGCCAGAAGGCGGCAGGGCUCGCAGCAGCUAGCUGGCUGAAUUGUUGUAGUUGUUGCAGCUGCAAAUAGGCAGCGGGGUUCACUGCAGCCAGUUGGCUGAAUGGAAUAAACUGCUGUUGCUGGGAGUACGCAGCAAGGUUUGCCACCGUUACUUGGUGGAUCGAAGGUAGCACCAGUUGCUGCAGUUGUUGUGCCCUGAUGCUUUGUGCCAACAAAUUCACCAAGGACAACUGCUGCAAUAGGGCCGAUGGUUGUUGGAUGAACAAGGGUGAUGACUGUAAGAUGCUUGCUGCGAUUGCCUGUUGGAGCCCAUAGGGUUGUAGCAUUGGGUUUGCGCACACUGGUGGGAGGUAUGCGGGAUGAGGGGCAGCUAUAGAAAUUUGUGAGCAGUGCGGUUGCGGGAUAUAGGUCGCGGUAGCAGCACUUGCAAAAAGAGCAAGGAGCAUAACGAGGGAAAAUAUCUUGGCCGCCAUUGUUGCUAUGUUGCUAGUGUAUUCCACUUUCUAGGUUGCUAGUUGGUCUCAAUAAUAUGGGUGAUGGAUUACCUACUGAUCUGGGGGGUAUUUAUACUCAUGUUAAGC